This is a long non-coding RNA of Protopterus annectens (West African lungfish), 162 nucleotides long. RefSeq lists it as uncharacterized. Lineage: Eukaryota; Metazoa; Chordata; Ceratodontiformes; Protopteridae. The record is from RefSeq and is a predicted model, not a curated record. The transcript has 2 exons.
UUAAGCACCACUUUUCUACACCAGUCUUACAGAAAGGCUACUCCAAAAUAAGGAAGUGAAGAUGAAUACUUGUGCUUUUCUAGUGUCAAUUCUCUCAGCUGUGACAACUUCAAUGUACCUUGACCUUACAAAGGAAUGGGGGGUCUGGAAAUUGGAAUAUGG